Molecule: microRNA precursor, 78 nt
Filed under: Ovis aries (sheep)
Lineage: Eukaryota; Metazoa; Chordata; Mammalia; Artiodactyla; Bovidae
Description: miRNA (ENSOARG00000023082.1)
Source: RNAcentral
GGGCUAUGUCCACAGGCACGGCCAGUUUGAGCAUUUUCACUGAAUUGCCAAACCAGUUGUGCCUGUAGACACAACCUU